UACGAAGGGGGCUAGCGUUGCUCGGAAUCACUGGGCGUAAAGCGCACGUAGGCGGCUUGCUAAGUCAGGGGUGAAAUCCUGGAGCUCAACUCCAGAACUGCCUUUGAUACUGGCGAUCUUGAGUCCGGGAGAGGUGAGUGGAACUGCGAGUGUAGAGGUGAAAUUCGUAGAUAUUGGGAAGAACACCGGUGGCGAAGGCGGCUCUCUGGACCGACACUGACGCUGAGGCGCGAAAGCGUGGGGAGCAAACAGG
Molecule: ribosomal RNA, 253 nt
Filed under: uncultured bacterium
Lineage: Bacteria
Description: partial 16S ribosomal RNA
Rfam family: Bacterial small subunit ribosomal RNA
Source: RNAcentral